Molecule: transfer RNA, 89 nt
Filed under: Edwardsiella ictaluri 93-146
Lineage: Bacteria; Pseudomonadati; Pseudomonadota; Gammaproteobacteria; Enterobacterales; Hafniaceae
Description: tRNA-Leu
Rfam family: tRNA
About the family: Transfer RNA (tRNA) molecules are approximately 80 nucleotides in length. Their secondary structure includes four short double-helical elements and three loops (D, anti-codon, and T loops). Further hydrogen bonds mediate the characteristic L-shaped molecular structure. tRNAs have two regions of fundamental functional importance: the anti-codon, which is responsible for specific mRNA codon recognition, and the 3' end, to which the tRNAs corresponding amino acid is attached (by aminoacyl-tRNA synthetases). tRNAs cope with the degeneracy of the genetic code in two manners: having more than one tRNA (with a specific anti-codon) for a particular amino acid; and 'wobble' base-pairing, i.e. permitting non-standard base-pairing at the 3rd anti-codon position.
Source: RNAcentral
UGCGAAGGUGGCGGAAUUGGUAGACGCGCUAGCUUCAGGUGUUAGUGUCUUAACGGACGUGAGGGUUCAAGUCCCUCUCUUCGCACCAC